CACCACUUCGCGCGCUCUCUCUCUCUCUCUCUCUCUUCGAUCUUCUUCUUCUUCGUCGAAUCUGAGCAGUCGAGGGAAUGGGUAUGGCGUACAAAUCCCUGGACUCCAUCACCAGGUCCGACAUCGAAGCCCACGGAAUCUCGCCUCCUGUCGCGGAGAAGCUGAGCGCGGAGCUCGCGCGGAUCCUCCGUGCUCACGGCGCCUCGCCUCCUGCCACGUGGCGGGCCAUCUCCGCGGGCCUCCUCGAGCCCGAUCUACCGUUCUCGUUCCACCAGUUGAUGUACUACGGCUGCUACGAGGACUUCGGACCCAACCCGCCCGCCUGGUUUCCCGACCCGAAGGCUGCUCAGGAAACAAAUGUUGGCCAAUUACUUGAAAGAAGGGGGAAAGAGUUUUUGGGUGGGAAAUACAAGGAUCCCAUUUCAAGCUUCUCUGAUUUUCAGAAAUUUUCCUUAUCAAGCCCUGAGGUUUAUUGGGCAACUGUACUUGAGGAACUAAGCAUAUUAUUUUCGGAACCUCCUAAAUGUAUCUUACUUGAGGAUCCAUCUGACAAAAGCCAUCCAGGGGGUCAAUGGCUUCCUGGAGCAUAUUUGAACCCAGCAGCGAAUUGCCUAUCUUUGAACAAUAAGAGGGCCCUGAAUGAUACAGCAAUUAUAUGGCGUGAUGAAGGACAUGAUGAUCUUCCUGUGAAACGAGUGUCUGUAAAGGAGCUACGAGAAGACGUCUGGUUGGUUGCACAUGCCCUCCACAGACUUGGUUUGGAGAAAGGAUCUGCAAUUGCAAUUGACAUGCCAAUGAAUGUUCAAUCUGUGGUUAUUUACCUAGCUAUCGUUCUAGCAGGAUAUGUAGUUGUAUCAAUUGCUGACAGCUUUGCUCCACUUGAAAUAUCAACGAGACUUAAAAUAUCCGGAGCCAAGGCAAUUUUUACUCAGGAUGUAAUCAUUCGUGGAGAAAAAAGUAUACCUCUGUACAGUAGAGUUGUGGAUGCCCAAUCACCAAUGGCAAUAGUCAUUCCUGCAAAAGGUUCCACUAUGGAAUUGCGUGAUGGUGACAUUUCUUGGCAUGAUUUUCGACGAAGAGUCGAGCAUCUCAAGGAGGAAUUUGCUGCUGCAGAACAACCGGUGGAGGCUUUUACAAACAUCCUUUUUUCUUCUGGAACUACAGGGGAGCCAAAGGCAAUUCCAUGGACACAUGCGACUCCUUUUAAGGCUGCUGCAGAUGCUUGGUGCCACAUGGAUAUUCAUAAAGGUGAUGUUGUUGCCUGGCCCACUAACCUAGGGUGGAUGAUGGGUCCCUGGCUAGUUUAUGCUUCCCUUUUGAAUGGCGCUGCCAUGGCCCUAUAUAAUGGAUCCCCACUAGGUUCUGGCUUUGCAAAGUUCGUCCAGGAUGCUAAAGUAACAAUGCUGGGUGUCAUUCCAAGUCUCGUGCGAACGUGGAAGAAUUCAAAGUCCACAUCUGGCUAUGAUUGGUCAGCUAUACGUUGCUUUAGCUCUACUGGGGAAGCAUCUAAUGCAGACGAGUACCUAUGGUUGAUGGGCAGAGCUAAAUAUAAACCUGUUAUUGAAUAUUGUGGCGGUACAGAGAUUGGGGGCGCAUUUGUUUCAGGCUCGCUAUUGCAGGCACAGUCACUGGCUGCUUUCAGUACACCAGUAAUGGGUUGUAGUUUGUUUAUCCUUGGGGAUGAUGGCCUUCCAAUUCCACAAGAUGUUCCAGGAAUGGGGGAAUUGGCACUUGGAGCGGUCAUGUUUGGAUCUUCAAGUACACUGCUUAAUGCGAACCAUUACGAUGUCUACUUUAAAGGAAUGCCCCUUUGGAAAGGAAAAGUUUUGCGGAGGCAUGGUGAUGUAUUUGAGCGUACUUCUAAAGGAUACUAUCAUGCACAUGGUCGUGCAGAUGAUACUAUGAAUCUUGGAGGUAUCAAGGUGAGCUCCAUCGAGAUUGAGCGAAUUUGCAAUUCUGUUGACGAAAAUGUCCUUGAAACUGCUGCGAUUGGGGUGCCCCCUGCUGAAGGUGGACCUGAGCAAUUGAUAAUAGCUGCAGUGCUGAAGGAUUUAGAUAAACAAGUGCCUGAUACAGAUAAACUAAGGACGGCUUUCAAUUCAGCUGUGCAGAAGAGACUAAAUCCUUUGUUCAGGGUUUCUCGCGUUGUGCCCGUCUCAUCUCUUCCAAGGACAGCUACAAACAAGGUUAUGAGAAGGGUUUUGCGGCAGCAGUUGGUGCAACUUGACAAAAAGCCUAAGCUAUGAAGGACGAAAAUGUCCAAGCCACAUCAUUCUACGAAAGGUAUGUGCCCAUGGUCGUUUGGUAUACGCUAGCAGUACCGAGACAUAUGAUAAUGAAAAUGGAGGCAAAUGCUUCUGCAGCUAGCAGCAGUUCACAGGGAAUCCCUCUUUGGCCAUGUUAUAUGAUCCGUGGCAUCAAUUUUCACUAAACCAAGAUUUUACCCUCUGAAUUAUGUGACACAGAAGCUUGUAUCGACUGGGAGUCCAAGUACUGUAAUCUGGUGUCGGGAACAAAGAUCUAUGGUAAAAUAGAUAGAUGGGAUACAAGAUGGGUGGACUUGUGACGAUUGAUAAGGCUGAAUGCCAAUAUUUGUCUGAGAGGUGAAUAAAAAUGAGGAAAGCAGAAAUACCCAUUAGUACUGGGAUCACAUCAUGCAAGAAUAGAGUCCUCUUCCCUUGGACUGUGAAGUCAUCAAUCCUUCCAACCUUCAUAGUUCGAGUUAUAUCUUGUUCUCAAGUUCUCUUGGACUGUGCAGCAUAUUUUUCUGGUAUGUGUACUGUUUGUUCUUGGAA
Molecule: RNA transcript, 2795 nt
Organism: Rhodamnia argentea
Lineage: Eukaryota; Viridiplantae; Streptophyta; Magnoliopsida; Myrtales; Myrtaceae
Gene name: probable acyl-activating enzyme 17, peroxisomal
Exons: 15
Source: RefSeq, a predicted model, not a curated record